RNAcentral lists this ribosomal RNA (410 nucleotides) under uncultured microorganism. RNAcentral describes it as "bacterial SSU rRNA". It matches the Rfam family "Bacterial small subunit ribosomal RNA", at positions 509 to 917 of the family's 1533-position model. The record is from RNAcentral.
CAGCCGCCGCGGUAAUACGUAGGGUGCGAGCGUUAAUCGGAUUUACUGGGCGUAAAGCGUGCGCAGGCGGCCCGUUAAGACAGGUGUGAAAUCCCUGGGCUCAACCUAGGAAUUGCGCUUGUGACUGGCGGGCUCGAGUACGGGAGAGGGGGGUGGAAUUCCUGGUGUAGCAGUGAAAUGCGUAGAGAUCAGGAGGAACACCGAUGGCGAAGGCAGCCCCCUGGGCCUGUACUGACGCUCAUGCACGAAAGCGUGGGGAGCAAACAGGAUUAGAUACCCUGGUAGUCAACGCCCUAAACGAUGGGUACUAGCCGUUUGGUGCGCGAUAGCGCUGAGUGGCGAAGCUAACGCGUGAAGUACCCCGCCUGGGGAGUACGGCCGCAAGGUUGAAACUUAAAGGAAUUGGCGGG